RNAcentral lists this ribosomal RNA (392 nucleotides) under uncultured bacterium. RNAcentral describes it as "partial 16S ribosomal RNA". It matches the Rfam family "Bacterial small subunit ribosomal RNA", at positions 523 to 917 of the family's 1533-position model. The record is from RNAcentral.
AUACGGAAGGUCCGGGCGUUAUCCGGAUUUAUUGGGUUUAAAGGGAGCGUAGGCGGGAGAUCAAGUCAGCUGUGAAAUGUAGAUGCUCAACAUCUGCACUGCAGUUGAAACUGGUUUUCUUGAGUGCGUAAGGGGCAGGCGGAAUUCGUCGUGUAGCGGUGAAAUGCUUAGAUAUGACGAAGAACUCCGAUCGCGAAGGCAGCCUGCCGGGCCGCGACUGACGCUGAAGCUCGAAGGUGCGGGUAUCGAACAGGAUUAGAUACCCUGGUAGUCCGCACAGUAAACGAUGGAUACUCGCUGUCGGCGAUAUACGGUCGGUGGCCAAGCGAAAGCGUUAAGUAUCCCACCUGGGGAGUACGCCGGCAACGGUGAAACUCAAAUGAAUUGACGGG